This 669-nucleotide long non-coding RNA is filed under the name Nicotiana benthamiana. RNAcentral's name for it is "long non-coding RNA (NBEN_LNC024854)". Lineage: Eukaryota; Viridiplantae; Streptophyta; Magnoliopsida; Solanales; Solanaceae. The record is from RNAcentral.
GUUCAGCAAUCUUGGAAACAAAUGAAGACUUCUUUGAACAAGUCUUGGUGUUCUUUGGCUUAGGGGUCUGAACCUCCACAUCCACAUUCACAUAUGCAUCUUGGUGGACCGGGUCUGUCACAUCCACAUCAACAGACUCAACAUGCUCUACAACCUUAACUUUCCUUUUGUCCAUUCUUUUCUUCUUACUUCGGCCAUAGCCUUUUGUAACUCCUUCUCACUAUAUUUCAACUUACUCCUUGUGGACCUUCCUUUUGGUAGUGAAAUCUCAGCACUUGUUGGAGAAGUAGCCUUCCUUUUCUUGGUAGUUUUUGCAAUGAUAGGGGUUUUUGGUGUUGGGUUCUCCUUUUCUUUGGAUUAUAGCUUGCACCCACUUUCUUUAGAAGGUCUGCUAGGGUCUCAUCAAUAGAUGAACCAGGUUCAUCUCCCUAUGAACUAAAAUUAACCAACCCUUCAGCAUCCUUCCCUGAACCACUUCCCCCUAUUUUCUUUCUCCUUUGUUCCACAUUUUCAUGUUCAUCCCCACAUAUAGCCGGUCUAACCAUUUCAGAAAUUGGUGACGAAUCAGCCGCUCUUUCCCUUUCCCUUCACAUCACUACUCACACCCUCACUCUCCCUUUCUUUUUCACUUUUAUUUUUACCUCCUCUCCUUGACUCAAGCAUUUCCAC